GCUCCCAUGGCGUAGUGGUCACUGCGCUCGCCUUGCACGCGGGAGACCCGGUUCGAUUUCCGGUGGGGUCA
Molecule: transfer RNA, 71 nt
Filed under: Diaphorina citri (Asian citrus psyllid)
Lineage: Eukaryota; Metazoa; Arthropoda; Insecta; Hemiptera; Psyllidae
Rfam family: tRNA
About the family: Transfer RNA (tRNA) molecules are approximately 80 nucleotides in length. Their secondary structure includes four short double-helical elements and three loops (D, anti-codon, and T loops). Further hydrogen bonds mediate the characteristic L-shaped molecular structure. tRNAs have two regions of fundamental functional importance: the anti-codon, which is responsible for specific mRNA codon recognition, and the 3' end, to which the tRNAs corresponding amino acid is attached (by aminoacyl-tRNA synthetases). tRNAs cope with the degeneracy of the genetic code in two manners: having more than one tRNA (with a specific anti-codon) for a particular amino acid; and 'wobble' base-pairing, i.e. permitting non-standard base-pairing at the 3rd anti-codon position.
Source: Rfam by way of RNAcentral